UACGGAGGGUCCAAGCGUUAUCCGGAAUUAUUGGGUUUAAAGGGUUCGCAGGCGGUCUUAUAAGUCAGUGGUGAAAUCCUAUCGCUUAACGAUAGAACUGCCAUUGAUACUGUAAGACUUGAAUUUAGUUGGCGUAGGCGGAAUGAGUAGUGUAGCGGUGAAAUGCAUAGAUAUUACUCAGAACACCGAUAGCGAAGGCAGCUUACGAAGCUAUAAUUGACGCUCAUGAACGAAAGCGUGGGUAGCGAACAGG
This 253-nucleotide ribosomal RNA is filed under the name uncultured bacterium. RNAcentral's name for it is "partial 16S ribosomal RNA". It matches the Rfam family "Bacterial small subunit ribosomal RNA", at positions 524 to 776 of the family's 1533-position model. The record is from RNAcentral.